This 20-nucleotide microRNA is filed under the name Schistosoma mansoni. RNAcentral describes it as "sma-miR-8408-3p". Lineage: Eukaryota; Metazoa; Platyhelminthes; Trematoda; Strigeidida; Schistosomatidae. The record is from miRBase by way of RNAcentral.
UUUAGUUCUAAUAUGAAUAU